AUGCUCCCUUUGGCAGCACAUACACCAAAACUGGAACAAUACAGACCAUUAGCAUGGCCCCUGUGCAAGGUUAACAUGCAAAUUCAUGAAGCAUUCUAUAUUUUU
Pteropus vampyrus (large flying fox) is the source of this 105-nucleotide small nuclear RNA. Lineage: Eukaryota; Metazoa; Chordata; Mammalia; Chiroptera; Pteropodidae. The record is from Ensembl.